This 442-nucleotide ribosomal RNA is filed under the name uncultured bacterium. RNAcentral's name for it is "partial 16S ribosomal RNA". It matches the Rfam family "Bacterial small subunit ribosomal RNA", at positions 355 to 784 of the family's 1533-position model. The record is from RNAcentral.
UGGGGAGUUUUGGACAAUGGGCGCAAGCCUGAUCCAGCCAUGCCGCGUGCGGGAAGAAGGCCUUCGGGUUGUAAACCGCUUUUGUCAGGGAAGAAAUCUUCUGAGUUAAUACCUCGGGAGGAUGACGGUACCUGAAGAAUAAGCACCGGCUAACUACGUGCCAGCAGCCGCGGUAAUACGUAGGGUGCAAGCGUUAAUCGGAAUUACUGGGCGUAAAGCGUGCGCAGGCGGUUUUGUAAGACAGAGGUGAAAUCCCCGGGCUCAACCUGGGAACUGCCUUUGUGACUGCAAGGCUUGAGUGCGGCAGAGGGGGGAAUGGAACUUCCGCGUGUAGCAGUGGAAAUUGCGUAGAUAUGCGGAGGAACACCGAUGGCGAAGGCAAUCCCCUGGGCCUGCACUGACGCUCAUGCACGAAAGCGUGGGGAGCAAACAGGAUUAGAUA